UACGAAGGGGGCUAGCGUUGCUCGGAAUUACUGGGCGUAAAGCGCCCGUAGGCGGAUUGUUAAGUCGGGGGUGAAAUCCUGGAGCUCAACUCCAGAACUGCCUUCGAUACUGGCGAUCUAGAGUCCGGGAGAGGUGAGUGGAACUGCGAGUGUAGAGGUGAAAUUCGUAGAUAUUCGCAAGAACACCAGUGGCGAAGGCGGCUCACUGGCCCGGUACUGACGCUGAGGUGCGAAAGCGUGGGGAGCAAACAGG
Molecule: ribosomal RNA, 253 nt
Filed under: uncultured bacterium
Lineage: Bacteria
Description: partial 16S ribosomal RNA
Rfam family: Bacterial small subunit ribosomal RNA
Source: RNAcentral